CUCUGUGGUGAUAGGACAAGGGGAAAUGGUUUCAAACUGAAAGAGAGUAGCUACAGGUUGGAUAGAAGGAAAAAGUCUCCUACAGUGAAGGUGGUGAGUCACUGGAACAGGUUGCCCAGAGAUGUGAUGAAAGUCCUGUCCUUGGAAGCAUUCAAGACCAGGCUGGACAGGGCACUGAGCAACCUGAUCUAGCUGUGGGUGUCCCUGUUCAUUGCGGAUGAGGCUGAAGAUAAGGACACAACAUUGAAAAACUGAGAAACAGCUCGUUAGGAAAUAACUACCCAAAACACCAGAAGAGGCCAAAGAAAGACUUGAUUUCCACUCAGCUCCAGGAUGCCAACUCCUGAAUCUGACAAUAAUACCAUCUAACGAAGGGCUAAAGACCAAGCCAUACAAGCACGCUGUGUACAAAGCUGCCCAUGGCUGAAGAAAGAUCAUUGAUUCACUACAUCUCAUUUGGGAAUUUCCCUCAUCUUCCGUAUCUUUCUAAAAGACUCAUAAUCAAGCUGAAGGGUAAUCUGUUCUUCUGGAGUAGUUUUUUUGACAGUAUCUCCCAUUAUAACUAUACUUCAUUUGAAACACUACAACAUUAACUGGAAAGAGGAACAGAAUAGGACUCAUCAUGGUGAAUUACCUAGAGUAAAAUCCAGUUGCUCCCUAGCACGUUAAACAUGGGAUUCUUGUAUACAUUACAGAACUGACACAGAUGAAGCAACAGAAACUGAAAGUUCAAAUACUGAAACGUUUCUGGAUGCAUAUUAGAUACCUUUGAGCAGAAAUAUAUGUAUCUGGCAAAUUUUGCUAGCAGAAAUCUCUGUAGCUUCCUCACUUUUAGCAGAACAGCACUGUGAACAUUAGUGGUACCUAACAAAAGUCCUUCUUGUGAAGCAAACCCUGGAUGCUGCAGGUUUAAACCAGUGAGAAGUUUAGCACAUGAAUGAUGCAGAAGUGUUGAUUGGUAUAUGUCAACACAGAGUCAUAGACAAAGUGUUGAUGUAAGUGCUUGUCAUCUAGAACGCUGAAUUUCAAUGCAAGUGUGGCAGUGAGACUGAUGGACCCCCAAUACUGACAGGAUAUGGCAACUGGGUAGAUUAUGCUCAUCUCAAACUUACAGAAGCAAUCCCUUCACUAUUUUUCCUAUGCAUAUUAGCCUUAUGUAGAUUUGAAACCAACACAACUUCACAACCUUCUGAUGUUUCUCUUCAGAAAAACAAACAAACGAAGAAAGCAGGGACAGAAGCAACAGCAGUACUGGUACUAAGCAGUGGAGUGUAGUGGUCAGAUCAAAUAUUCUGAAAAUUAUGUAGCAUGUCAUCUUGACAAUAGCCUUGACUUAACCAGAAACUAUUUUUUGUAAUUAGUAUACUCAGACGUUUUCUUUAUAUUCAGAAUCCAACUGUUCUAACGUUCUGAAAAACAGAACAAAAAGAAAAACAAGCCUUUAAACCAGUCUGACAACUGCAAUUAAAUCAAUCAUCCACUCAAAUUCAGGUAUUUGUAACAUCAGGUAAUUUAACAAACAUCUUUCAACCAUAACAGCUCAAGGCACAUUUGUUUUAAAAGCACUUUAAUAGAAAAUUUCAGUAUACCUCCCCCACUAAGAUCGUUCUGUAAAGAAUGCACUUCUAACUAUAGAGGAUCAAAAGGACUGAAUAGUCACUUUAUAAUUUUCAACAUUUAUUAUAACUUCUUAGGGAACUAUGCCUAGUUGUGAACAAAUCAAAAAUUGCUUCUGGAGGGAAAAUAUUUAAUGAAAAGAAGAUUAUUAUCGUAUUUUAACAUAAAGAUAAAUUUAAUACAACUAAUGGCUACCAUUCCUAUUAUAUUCUUGUAUGUUACCAUCAGACUUUUAAAUGAGAAGAGGUGCUUGAGUUCCAUCUGUGACAAAGCACAGAAACAGCAAAAGAGCUAGAAUAUUCAAUUGCUUACAGUUUGCAGUUUCAUUAUACCAUGGAGAUCAUGAAGAACUGAAACCCAGACUUAUAAGCCCAAUAGAGGAAAGCGCUCAUGGGAAACUGAUUGAAAGUAUUUUGAGGUAAGAAAGAUUAAGGCUUUUUUAUGCUUUUCCUAGCUUUGUGCCUGGGGACAAUAUACUCUAGAACAUCUGUAAAGUUUACUGGAAUUUUUGCUGAUAUACCUAAUGUUGACCUCAUUAUCCACAUUCUCUAUAUAAUUAUGAUGAAUGAUUUUCAGUUUAGUAGACCUAGCAAUUUACUUGUUCUUACUUUACUAAGCAACCCCAUUUUUCUCCUCCCUACGAAGAAUAUAAUCCAGCGCUGCAGUCAAAGGUAGGAUUCAAAUCUUAACCAAGGGAGGAGAUGCAUAGACUAUACAUUUAAUCAUUGAGAUUUAAUAAUUGCAGAUUGAUGAAUAAUCUGUUAAAGUAAAAGCACUGUAUGGGCUCCAUUCCUGCACACACUGAUACCUUUAGCAGGCUCUGACUGCCUCGCUAUUGCAAGAGCUGAAGGGCUAUUCAGCUGAGUAGUGCCCACACAUUAGGUCUGAUGAAAGAUAGACUGAAGCCAUUACAUUCAGAUCUGAUGAUGAGAGUGAAUCACAUAAAUUGACAGCAUGGUCUAACUUUUUAUCAAUAUCUGAUCAAUAUUAUUGUUCAGACAAUAAAAGGCAAGCACUUCUUUUCUUGACAGGAAUAAAUAGGUGCUUACUGUUUCAUACAGAAAAGGGAUUUUACACAUACAACCUAAAGGUCUACCGUUCCUAUCAAUGUAAGACUUCUAUAUUCUGUGGGAGAACACACAGUGGGCCAGAGGUGUAAAAAGUCACAUAUAACAGUAUAGUAUCAGAUCUCCAGCUUUGGAAUAACUGAGCAAAUUUUUAGAGUUUUGAAGAAGACAGAUACACACAUUAUUCUUAGAAGAAGCUGAUGAAUCACUAGCAAGUAUUUACUAACCAAUGUUAAACACCAUUAUUUCAGGUUCCUUGAUACAUUCUUAAUACAGUAUUUCUAUAAAUCAGUUUUUGUAUGAGAAUCUGUUGAGGGUAGCAGUUGCUAAAAAUACAAAGUACAUGUAAAUCACCCAAAACAACGAGAUUUACUUGCUGAAAAAAAGAGAUUUCUGAAAUAAGUAGUAUGAUAUGUGGAGGCUGAAUCACUCCCAGUGGUGCCAUCUUUUUCUCUGCUGACUUUUCUGGAGAUAGGAAAGCUAAAUUGCCAAAAUAUGAAUUUAAUCCCAUCUAUAAAACAAACAGUUUUUCAUUCCCUGUGCAGCACUAGCCUAUAUGUACUUCCUAUUUUUAUAACACCGCAAAUAUCUAUGUCAUGUUGUGCCUGAAAUACAAUUGUUUUCGAAUGAGCAGACAAACAGAAGAAACAAGAUUCAGAAAAAAAAAACCUUACCCGAAACAUUUUGAGGAAGCUAAUGUUUUUUUUUUUUUUUCUUUCUAACAAUAAAGUUCCAAUUUUAUCAAUAUUAAAUAAGUUCACAAAAUUCUUCUGACUGGAGCAUCACCCUUUUGGCAGAAAAGAUAAUGCCUACAUAUCUCACAGAACACUGGUGAAAUUGCAUUGAGGGAAGGAAUUCAUAUUUAGGAAAGGAACUGAGUAAGAACUGUGAAUUCAAUUAAAAUAUUGUUGUAAUAUGGAGAAGACUGCUUAUAAAGACUGAAAUAAAGAUUUCUCUAAAAAUUUUAAACACUUUUCCCAUUUUAUAACUAAGUCAUGACUGCAUCAGAAAGUAGUGCAUUUGCCAGCAGUCUUGGUGCAUCAGCUUGAAUAUUGUGUUGCCUUGAACAGGGCCAUGUGACCUCACUGCAAACCAGGCUGCAGUCACUGCAGUGUGUCUUUAUUCCUGGGAUACUCAGCACUGCAUUUUGCAAUAAUGUGUAGUGAUUUAAGAAAUAUUUUAUAGAACAAUAUGCUAUAGAAUACUAGAAUUGGGCAAAUAAAUUUUUAUUUUUUCCACCUUAUGUUACAGCAUAAAAACAUAUUUCUUUAAUGUAGUUUACUUCAGUAACCUAAAAUAAUCUUGAAUAACUAAUCCAGUUUCAUUAACCAGUGUUAGAAAAAGAGAACACUAUUUUUCCUCAUCUGCUGAAUCAGGGGUCUGAUUUGUACUGUAAAUAUUCAGAGACAAAAAGCACUAGAAUUCCUGGAGUCUUCCACUGCCAAUGGAUAUGAUCGUUUCAAGAGACAGCUAUGGGAUGGCAUGUAGUUUACAGCAAGUUUACUCUAGGUCUUUGGAACACAGGCAUGAAGAUCGUUGUUCCUUUAUAGGUAGCAGUCAGGAUGUGAAAGCUUGCCAGCUUGGUCUGGAAAUUACUUUGUGGCUAGAACUGGACACUUAUUUUCUAGUGCACAAGAUCUUGAAGAGUUUCCAGCUGCACAAGACUGUAUUUAUUGCACUACGUAGGAAAUAAUAAAAAGUUUUGAAGUAGUCUGAGUAGGAAUGGUGCUGACAUUCAUAUUCUGUUUUUAUCUAUGUAUGUCAAUAUUGUAAAGAACUUUUCUUCCAAACUAUAGAAGAUUUAGCAGGUAAAUAAGUAUAUUUAUCCAAUAAAGUCUAUGAUGGUAAUUAACUGCUCAGACUCUCUUAAUGAAGCUGUUUAUUUUAAAGGACUCAAAAAUUCAGAUAUUCCCCUUUGUAUGAAAAUGAGAACAGCACAACAGCAAGGACUUGAACCUGAGUUUUUUCACCUCAGGCAAGUUUCCUGCUGAACCCUUGUUUUCUCUUUGGUGGAUAGUGGUUACAUAGCGUAAACAGUUAGAAAAUUAAGAAAUGAAAAAUGUAUCUGAAUGGCCUCAUAUCACUUUACAUACUCUGUAACAAAUACCAUCACUUUCUUGAUAACCAAGUUGUUCAGUGUUUAACGAUCUUAAUAGAUGUAGGAACCCAGUAUUCAUAUGUUUUCUUUGUCUGUCUUGGAGUAUGGGAUAAAAUUCAGGUCUUCUGCUCUCCACUGAGUAGUGUUCAAGGAGUACAUGAAAUUCUGAAGCUAUAACACGCUACAUAAAACUGUUUGUUAAGCUAGAAAUCUCCAGUCAUUAAAAAUAUCUGUGAAUCUUCCUGAAGAAGCAGGGCAUGUGAGUCCUACUCUCUACUCCGUGGGCCAUACAGAGCCAUACAGGGAACAUAAAUCCUAUGUCUGAAGAAAGUAAACUCUUUACUUACAUUAACUUUUGAAUUAAAAAACUUAGAACACAACAAAACUACUUGUUUCUCAACAAGUCGAAUAAACCAUUUUUUUCAACCAAACAUUUGUAACAAUUUUCUAAAAAUGCCUUAAAAAUCAAUUUCAUUUG
Molecule: long non-coding RNA, 5260 nt
Filed under: Gallus gallus (chicken)
Lineage: Eukaryota; Metazoa; Chordata; Aves; Galliformes; Phasianidae
Description: lncRNA (ENSGALG00010010691.1)
Source: RNAcentral